UUGAUGUAACGGGGAUUAAGCCAUGAGCCGAAGCUUAGGAUUCACCGCAAGGUGAAUGGUAGCAGAGUGUUCUGUAUGCCUGCGAAGGGUGAGCGUGAGCGAGCCUGGAGGUAUCAGAAGUAAGAAUGCUGACAUGAGUAGCGAUAAAGAGGGUGAGAGACCCUCUCGCCGUAAGUCCAAGGGUUCCUGCGUCAAGUUAAUCUGCGCAGGGUUAGCCGGCCCCUAAGGCAAGGCCGAAAGGCGUAGUCGAUGGGAAUGCGGUAAAUAUUCCGCAGCCUGUGGGUAGUGACGGAUCAAGUAACUUGUUCGACCUUACUGGAUUGGUCGGGCCGGGAAUUGGUCCCAGGAAAUAGCUCCCACGUAUAGCCCGUACCCCAAACCGACACAGGUGGACUGGCAGAGUAUGCUAAGGCGCUUGAGAGAACUGUGUUGAAGGAACUAGGCAAAUUGCCCUCGUAACUUCGGAAGAAGAGGGCCCGGUAUCGACGCAAGUCUUUGCCGGGGGCACAUAGCAGGGGGUGGCGACUGUUUACUAAAAACACAGGGCGCUGCGAAAUCCAAAGAUGACGUAUAGCGUCUGACGCCUGCCCGGUGCUGGAAGGUUAAGAGGAGAUGUGAAAGCGUUGAAUCGAAGCCCCAGUAAACGGCGGCCGUAACGAUAACGGUCCUAAGGUAGCGAAAUUCCUUGUCGGGUAAGUUCCGACCUGCACGAAAGGCGUAACGACUUCCCCACUGUCUCCAACACAGGCUCAGCGAAAUUGAAUUCCCCGUGAAGAUGCGGGGUUCCCGCGGUCAGACGGAAAGACCCCGUGCACCUUUACUGCAACUUUACACUGGCAUUAGGAAUGGGAUGUGUAGAAUAGGUGGUAGGCAUUGAAGCCGAGGCGCUAGCCUUGGUGGAGCCGAAAUGUGAAAUACCACCCUUCUUGUUCCUGAUGUCUAACCGCGGUCCCUGAACGGGAUCCGAGACAGUGUAUGGUAGGCAGUUUGACUGGGGCGGUCGCCUCCCAAAGAGUAACGGAGGCGCGCGAUGGUAGGCUCAAUCCGGUCGGAAAUCGGAUGUUGAGUGCAAUGGCAAAGGCCUGCCUGACUGCAAGGUCGACGGACCAAGCAGAGUCGAAAGACGGUCAUAGUGAUCCGGUGAUCCCGAAUGGAAGGGUCAUCGCUCAACGGAUAAAAGGUACGCCGGGGAUAACAGGCUGAUCGCACCCAAGCGUCCAUAGCGACGGUGCGGUUUGGCACCUCGAUGUCGGCUCAUCACAUCCUGGGGCUGUAGCCGGUCCCAAGGGUAUGGCUGUUCGCCAUUUAAAGUGGUACGUGAGCUGGGUUUAGAACGUCGUGAGACAGUUCGGUCCCUAUCUGCCGUGGGUGUUCGAAACUUGAGGAGACUUCUUCCUAGUACGAGAGGACCGGAAGGAACGUAUCUCUGGUGGAUCGGUUGUCACGCCAGUGGCAUAGCCGAGUAGCUAAAUACGGACGAGAUAACCGCUGAAAGCAUCUAAGCGGGAAACUCACUCCAAAACUAGGUUUCGCUUGAGAGCCGGGGAAGACUACCCCGUCGAUAGGCCAGGUGUGUAAGCGCAGCAAUGCGUUGAGCUUACUGGUACUAAUUGCUCGAAG
This 1620-nucleotide ribosomal RNA is filed under the name metagenome. RNAcentral describes it as "bacterial LSU rRNA". It matches the Rfam family "Bacterial large subunit ribosomal RNA", at positions 1167 to 2913 of the family's 2925-position model. The record is from RNAcentral.